ACUCCUACGGGAGGCAGCAGUGGGGAAUAUUGCGCAAUGGACGAAAGUCUGACGCAGCGACGCCGCGUGGAGGAUGAAGGUUUUCGGAUCGUAAACUCCUGUCAAGAGGGAAGAAACCUAUUAUGAAUAAUACUCAUAGUAAUUGACGGUACCUCUAGAGGAAGCACCGGCUAAUUCAGUGCCAGCAGCCGCGGUAAUACUGAAGGUGCAAGCGUUAAUCGAAUCACUGGGCGUAAAGCGCUCGUAGGUGGCUUUGUAAGUCAGGUGUGAAAGCCCACGGCUCAACCGUGGAAUUGCACUUGAUACUGCAUCGCUAGAGUAUAGGAGAGGGAAGUGGAAUUUCUGGUGUAGGAGUGAAAUCCGUAGAGAUCAGAAGGAACACCCGUGGCGAAGGCGACUUCCUGGACUAUUACUGACACUGAGGAGCG
RNAcentral lists this ribosomal RNA (428 nucleotides) under uncultured bacterium. RNAcentral's name for it is "bacterial SSU rRNA". It matches the Rfam family "Bacterial small subunit ribosomal RNA", at positions 335 to 755 of the family's 1533-position model. The record is from RNAcentral.